GCUAAACCAAAAGGUUCUGUUAUGUACAUUUCAUUUGGGAGUCUUGCAAAAAGUAGUAGACAAGAUAUUCUUGAAAUGGCUCAUGGACUUUUACUUAGCAGAGUUAGCUUUAUUUGGGUGGUUCGUCCCGAUAUUACAUGGUCAUUAGAAAGUAAUCUUUUGCCAGAAAGAUUUGAACACGACGUAAAAGACAGAGGAUUAGUAGUGUCAUGGUGUAACCAAAUUGAUGUGAUUUCACAUCGAGCUAUCGGAGGAUUCUUGACACAUUGCGGAUGGAAUUCAGUUUUGGAGAGUAGUUGGUGCAAAGUUCCAAUGUUGUGUUUUCCAAUAUUUACUGAUCAAUUUACAAACAGGAAAUUGGUAGUCAGGGAGUGGAAGGUUGGCUUUGAUCUUAGCAGUGGAAGAAUACU
RNAcentral lists this unclassified non-coding RNA (410 nucleotides) under Hevea brasiliensis (rubber tree). Lineage: Eukaryota; Viridiplantae; Streptophyta; Magnoliopsida; Malpighiales; Euphorbiaceae. The record is from RNAcentral.